This 463-nucleotide ribosomal RNA is filed under the name uncultured bacterium. RNAcentral describes it as "partial 16S ribosomal RNA". It matches the Rfam family "Bacterial small subunit ribosomal RNA", at positions 339 to 795 of the family's 1533-position model. The record is from RNAcentral.
CUACGGGAGGCUCCAGUGGGGAAUAUUGGACAAUGGGGGAAACCCGAUCCAGCAAUGCCGCGUGUGUGAAGAAGGCCUGCGGGUUGUAAAGCACUUUCGGUUGGGAGGACUGCUUCUAGCACUAAUAUUGUUGGAAGUUGACGUUACCUUCAGAAGAAGCACCGGCUAACUCCGUGCCAGAGGCGCGGUAAUACGGAGGGUGCAAGCGGUAAUCGGAAUUACUGGGCGUAAAGCGCGCGUAGGCGGCUAGAUUAGUCGGGUGUGAAAGCCCCGGGCUUAACCUGGGAACUGCAUCCGAUACUGUCUAGCUUGAGUACAGGAGAGGAGAGUGGAAUUCCACAUGUAGCGGUGAAAUGCGUAGAUAUGUGGAGGAACACCAAUGGCGAAGGCAGCUCUCUGGCCUGAUACUGACGCUGAGGUGCGAAAGCGUGGGGAGCAAACAGGAUUAGAUACCCUUGUAGUC